AAAGCGUGCGCAGGCGGUUUUGUAAGUCUGACGUGAAAGCCCCGGGCUCAACCUGGGAAUUGCGUUGGAGACUGCAAGGCUUGAAUCUGGCAGAGGGGGGUAGAAUUCCACGUGUAGCAGUGAAAUGCGUAGAGAUGUGGAGGAACACCGAUGGCGAAGGCAGCCCCCUGGGUCAAGAUUGACGCUCAUGCACGAAAGCGUGGGGAGCAAACAUGAUUAGAUACCCUGGUAGUCCACGCCCUAAACGAUGUCUACUAGUUGUCGGGUUUUAAUUAACUUGGUAACGCAGCUAACGCGUGAAGUAGACCGCCUGGGGAGUACGGUCGCAAGAUUAAAACUCAAAGGAAUUGACGGGGACCCGCACAAGCGGUGGAUGAUGUGGAUUAAUUCGAUGCAACGCGAAAAACCUUACCUACCCUUGACAUGGAAGGAAUCCCGAAGAGAUUUGGGAGUGCCCGAAAGGGAGCCUUCACACAGGUGCUGCAUGGCUGUCGUCAGCUCGUGUCGUGAGAUGUUGGGUUAAGUCCCGCAACGAGCGCAACCCUUGUCAUUAGUUGCUACGGCAAGAGCACUCUAAUGAGACUGCCGGUGACAAACCGGAGGAAGGUGGGGAUGACGUCAAGUCCUCAUGGCCCUUAUGGGUAGGGCUCCACACGUCAUACAAUGGUACAUACAGAGGGCCGCCAACCCGCGAGGGGGAGCUAAUCCCAGAAAGUGUAUCGUAGUCCGGAUUGUAGUCUGCAACUCGACUACAUGAAGUUGGAAUCGCUAGUAAUCGCGGAUCAGCAUGUCG
This 793-nucleotide ribosomal RNA is filed under the name uncultured bacterium. RNAcentral's name for it is "bacterial SSU rRNA". It matches the Rfam family "Bacterial small subunit ribosomal RNA", at positions 562 to 1359 of the family's 1533-position model. The record is from RNAcentral.